Molecule: ribosomal RNA, 516 nt
Filed under: uncultured bacterium
Lineage: Bacteria
Description: bacterial SSU rRNA
Rfam family: Bacterial small subunit ribosomal RNA
Source: RNAcentral
GACGAACGCUGGCGGCGUGCCUAAUACAUGCAAGUCGAGCGGACCAAAGGGAGCUUGCUCCUGGAGGUUAGCGGCGAACGGGUGAGUAACACGUGGGCAACCUGCCUGUAAGACUGGGAUAACAUCGAGAAAUCGGUGCUAAUACCGGAUAAUAAAAAGAACUGCAUGGUUCUUUUUUGAAAGAUGGUUUCGGCUAUCACUUACAGAUGGGCCCGCGGCGCAUUAGCUAGUUGGUGAGGUAACGGCUCACCAAGGCAACGAUGCGUAGCCGACCUGAGAGGGUGAUCGGCCACACUGGGACUGAGACACGGCCCAGACUCCUACGGGAGGCAGCAGUAGGGAAUCUUCCGCAAUGGACGAAAGUCUGACGGAGCAACGCCGCGUGAGUGAUGAAGGUUUUCGGAUCGUAAAACUCUGUUGUUAGGGAAGAACAAGUGCCGUUCGAAAGGGCGGCACCUUGACGGUACCUAACGAGAAAGCCACGGCUAACUACGUGCCAGCAGCCGCGGUAAAGUA